RNAcentral lists this transfer RNA (73 nucleotides) under Thermodesulfobacterium geofontis. RNAcentral's name for it is "tRNA-Val". It matches the Rfam family "tRNA". Rfam says of the family: Transfer RNA (tRNA) molecules are approximately 80 nucleotides in length. The record is from RNAcentral. Lineage: Bacteria; Pseudomonadati; Thermodesulfobacteriota; Thermodesulfobacteria; Thermodesulfobacteriales; Thermodesulfobacteriaceae.
GGGCGGUAUAGCUCAGGGGGAGAGCAUCGGCCUUACAAGCCGGGGGUCAGAGGUUCAAAUCCUCUUCCGCCCA